AGAUUGUGGAGUGAACAUUCUCUCUACAGGUCCUUGAACCUAUUCCAUGCUUCCCUCAAUGUUUCAUCGGGUUCUUGUUGGAAGUUAGCAAGUUUAUGUCUUAUUUC
RNAcentral lists this small nucleolar RNA (107 nucleotides) under Beta vulgaris subsp. vulgaris (sugar beet). RNAcentral describes it as "Plant small nucleolar RNA R71". It matches the Rfam family "Plant small nucleolar RNA R71". Rfam says of the family: R71 is a member of the C/D box family of snoRNAs containing the C (UGAUGA) and D (CUGA) box motifs. Multiple nearly identical copies of this snoRNA have been identified in Arabidopsis, and it is thought to function as a 2'-O-ribose methylation guide for 18S ribosomal RNA. The record is from Rfam by way of RNAcentral. Lineage: Eukaryota; Viridiplantae; Streptophyta; Magnoliopsida; Caryophyllales; Amaranthaceae.